RNAcentral lists this ribosomal RNA (467 nucleotides) under uncultured Lautropia sp. RNAcentral's name for it is "bacterial SSU rRNA". It matches the Rfam family "Bacterial small subunit ribosomal RNA", at positions 337 to 796 of the family's 1533-position model. The record is from RNAcentral. Lineage: Bacteria; Pseudomonadati; Pseudomonadota; Betaproteobacteria; Burkholderiales; Burkholderiaceae.
UCCUACGGGGGGCUGCAGUGGGGAAUAUUGGGCAAUGGGCGCAAGCCUGAUCCAGCAAUGCCGCGUGUGUGAUGAAGGCCUUCGGGUUGUAAAGCACUUUUGGCGGGAACGAAAAGGACUGUGCCAAUACCACGGUUCGAUGACGGUACCCGCAGAAUAAGCACCGGCUAACUACGUGCCAGCAGCCGCGGUAAUACGUAGGGUGCGAGCGUUAAUCGGAAUUACUGGGCGUAAAGAGUGCGCAGGCGGUUUUGCGAGACCGAUGUGAAAGCCCCGGGCUUAACCUGGGAACUGCAUUGGUGACUGCAAGGCUAGAGUGUUUCAGAGGGAGGUGGAACUCCGCAUGUAGCAGUGAAAUGCGUAGAUAUGCGGAAGAACACCGAUGGCGAAGGCAGCCUCCUGGGAUAACACUGACGCUCAUGCACGAAAGCGUGGGGAGCAAACAGGAUUAGAUACCCCAGUAGUCC